Podarcis lilfordi (Lilford's wall lizard) is the source of this 74-nucleotide non-coding RNA. The record is from the annotation of a GenBank genome assembly. Lineage: Eukaryota; Metazoa; Chordata; Lepidosauria; Squamata; Lacertidae.
GCGGUGUGCUCAGAGCAGCCAUGGCGGAGACUGUAGCCUGGCUGUUUAUACCACACCGUAGAGAAAAAACAUAU